Molecule: ribosomal RNA, 253 nt
Filed under: uncultured bacterium
Lineage: Bacteria
Description: partial 16S ribosomal RNA
Rfam family: Bacterial small subunit ribosomal RNA
Source: RNAcentral
UACAGAGGGUGCAAGCGUUAUUCGGAAUUACUGGGCGUAAAGCGUGCGCAGGCGGUUUCGUAAGUCAGAUGUGAAAGCCCCGGGCUCAACCUGGGAAUUGCAUUUGAGACUGCGUAGCUAGGGUGCGGAAGAGGGAAGCGGAAUUUCCGGUGUAGCGGUGAAAUGCGUAGAUAUCGGAAGGAACACCAGUGGCGAAAGCGGCUUGCUGGGCCAGCACUGACGUUCAGGCACGAAAGCGUGGGGAGCAAACAGG